GUGAGUGCAGCUGUUAUGACUCAGUGGUCAGCGGAAACUUGAUGAUAGCAUAGUGGUCAAGCUUGUUUCUCCUGGGAGCGCUCUUCCGAGGAUAUUUGGGCUGUCUCCGGAGUCGCAGUGUCUUCGGCCGCCGGAAGGUGGGUGACGUGCGGAUCUUCUUCUUUUUGUGGCUGUGGACACCUUUCAACACUGCCUUCUUGGCCUUUAAAGCCUUCGCUUUGGCUUCAGCUUUAGGAGGGGCAGGAGCUUCCUUCUUCGCUUUCGGCGCCAUGUUGUGAAAAGG
This 283-nucleotide long non-coding RNA is filed under the name Homo sapiens (human). RNAcentral's name for it is "HSALNT0315808". Lineage: Eukaryota; Metazoa; Chordata; Mammalia; Primates; Hominidae. The record is from RNAcentral.